RNAcentral lists this non-coding RNA (21 nucleotides) under Sclerotinia sclerotiorum. Lineage: Eukaryota; Fungi; Ascomycota; Leotiomycetes; Helotiales; Sclerotiniaceae. The record is from RNAcentral.
UAAAGAAACUUCUUUUUCUGA